Molecule: ribosomal RNA, 446 nt
Filed under: uncultured bacterium
Lineage: Bacteria
Description: SSU rRNA
Rfam family: Bacterial small subunit ribosomal RNA
Source: RNAcentral
AGAAUGAACGCUGGCGGCAUGCCUAACACAUGCAAGUCGAACGAACCCUUCGGGGUUAGUGGCGCACGGGUGCGUAACGCGUGGGAAUCUGCCCCUCGGUUCGGAAUAACAGUUAGAAAUGACUGCUAAUACCGGAUAACGACGUAAGUCCAAAGAUUUAUCGCCGAGGGAUGAGCCCGCGUAGGAUUAGCUAGUUGGUGUGGUAAAGGCGCACCAAGGCGACGAUCCUUAGCUGGUCUGAGAGGAUGAUCAGCCACACUGGGACUGAGACACGGCCCAGACUCCUACGGGAGGCAGCAGUGGGGAAUAUUGGACAAUGGGCGAAAGCCUGAUCCAGCAAUGCCGCGUGAGUGAUGAAGGCCUUAGGGUUGUAAAGCUCUUUUACCCGGGAUGAUAAUGACAGUACCGGGAGAAUAAGCUCCGGCUAACUCCGCGCCAGCAGCCGC